CUAAAACCUGCAGGACACCGGCCCUCAAGGCCUGGAGUUCAACACCUGUGCUGUAUACCAACCCAGAACAUUUCAUUUGACCAGAUUCCAUUAAAUUGACAUGGAAACCAGAGACCAUAAAAAGUAGACGAUAUCUGGCAACUUCAAGCAACUGCUGACGAUGUGAAGUGGCGAGACACGAGUGACUGAAGUGACUACCAAUGAGGGAGCCUGGAAUGCCCACAAGUGACGAGCUGUGAGAGACGAGCUUCAAAGUGAUGCAGAAUCAGCGACUUGCGUCCAGUGUAGACACAGCUUUCCCAGAUCUAGAAGCUACAUCCAUCUUUUAAACACAGUCCUUCUAUAGACUGUAUACAACUGUAAAUAAACACAUUAAAACGUACAGAAGAAUCAAACUAUAUUCAUAAAAAACAGGCUUACACAGAACAGAUCAAUGAAAUGUUUUCAUGGUGUUUGAAAUAUUGUACUGUAAUUCUUACUGAAUCAAUCGCUGACAAAAAGAUGACAAGCACAAGAUUAUUUUAUUUGUCUCAAAAGUUGGUGCGUUACAGCAUUAAAAAGAACAUGUAAAAAAGCAGCUUUGAUAAUAUACGUGAGAUGGAAAGUAGAAUUUCAGCAAAUAAAGGAGCUCACUAAGUAAAACCCUAAAAAAUGCAGUUUAAAGUAAAAGUAGAAUUCAGUAAAAUCCUGUAUAAAA
This is a long non-coding RNA of Oreochromis aureus, 697 nucleotides long. RefSeq lists it as uncharacterized. Lineage: Eukaryota; Metazoa; Chordata; Actinopteri; Cichliformes; Cichlidae. The transcript has 3 exons. The record is from RefSeq and is a predicted model, not a curated record.